RNAcentral lists this transfer RNA (73 nucleotides) under Bos taurus (domestic cattle). It matches the Rfam family "tRNA". From Rfam's summary of the family: Transfer RNA (tRNA) molecules are approximately 80 nucleotides in length. Their secondary structure includes four short double-helical elements and three loops (D, anti-codon, and T loops). The record is from Rfam by way of RNAcentral. RNAcentral also lists the same sequence under 2 other names. Lineage: Eukaryota; Metazoa; Chordata; Mammalia; Artiodactyla; Bovidae.
UCCCUGGUGGUCCAAUGAUGAAGACUCCAUGCUCUCACUGACGAGGACCCAGGUUCGAUCCCUGGUCAGGGAA